This is a long non-coding RNA of Lathyrus oleraceus (garden pea), 1766 nucleotides long. RefSeq lists it as uncharacterized. The record is from RefSeq and is a predicted model, not a curated record. NCBI's taxonomy places the organism in Eukaryota, Viridiplantae, Streptophyta, Magnoliopsida, Fabales, Fabaceae. The transcript is spliced from 2 exons.
UCAAAAUCUAACCAUAGCCUAAUGUUUAAUCAAAUUCUAAAACUAUUUCAAAAUAGACUUGGAUUCUAGAAUCAACCUAAUUCUAAUCAAACCUAAUUAAUUCCAAUUAAACUAAAUUUAAGUUCCAAUUAUAAUCUAAGAGUCAUACUAAAGAAAUUAAGCUAAAACCUAAAAAUCCUAAUUAACCCUAAAAUCUAGUUAACCUAAUCAUGUGAUUAAUGGAAACUAAUCCUAAUUCUAAAACCUAAGUAAGCUCAUUAACAUGAAUUAAAUCAAAUAAUCAAGGGUGCAUAACCUGGAAUUAGUGGUAUGCAUGGCAAAUGGCGGCAGGAGCCCAUCCUUAGGCCCAAUGGCCAAUGCUGAGAGAGUUUUGAAGCUGUUCAAAAACAUAAAAAAACUUCUCGGACCUGAAGCCCAACGGAGCCAGUGGUGAGAUCUAAAACUGAAAUGUAGGGGGUGCGAAUAGAGGAUGGCCUACAACAGAUGGAAACUUGUUGGGCCUAAGGCCCAAACUGAGAUGUCAAGCCAACAACCCGGUCCCUCUAACCUAAUGAAAAAAGACAAAGCGGUAAGGAAACAAGAACUCCAUGACGAACGCGGCCAUGUACACAUAUGUGUGAUUCGAAAACGAAGGCGCAUCUCGGGAGUUCGUAUUCGGUGGCGUCACAUUCGUUGGAUUUUUCGUCGAAUCAACAGAAAGGAAACCAUGGCUCCAUGAAAACAAUGAGAGAAACACAUAUGCAUAAAAAGAACUCACCGGAGUAGGAUCGUGAUGUAGUGGCUUAAUAGAAAGGACGUUGAUAGUUGGAGUUCAUAGCUUCCCUCUUCUUCCUCGCAAUCUCCAAAGAUAAGUGAUGUUGUGCAGAGUGUGAAAAUGAUGAUGAUGGAGAUGCAUAGGAUUUUAGGGAUUGGAGAGAGAUGACUGAAUUUGAAGAUUGAAGGAUUCAAGCUCGUGAAUCUCAUAUGUAGAUUGAUCCAAGCUCGUGAAUCUCAAAUGCAGAUUGAUCCAAGCUCGUGAAUCUCAUAUGUAGAUUGAUCCAAGCUCGUGAAUCUCAAAUGCAGAUUGAUCCAAGCUCGUGAAUCUCAAAUGCAGAUUGAUCCAAGCUCGUGAAUCUCAUAUGUAGAUUGAAGGAUCCCAUUGCAGAGUGAAGGAUUCCGUUGCAAAGUGAAGGAUUUUGUUGGAGAGUAGGAUUUUAGUUGAAGAAUGAAGGUGAGUCCCUCUUAUACUUCUCUGAUCUUUCUUAUUAUGUUACUUUCUUCACCUCUUCUGUUAUAGUUGUUAGGCUGGUUCAGUUAGGCUGUUAGAAGUGGUUCAGAAGUUAGUUAGAGCUAACAGAGAUUAACUCUGUUAGUAUGAAUCAGAGCCAAAACAAUUUUAGUUACUCUGUUGGUUUAGGGAGUUGUGAAAGUUUGUUAGCUGGAAUUGGGAGAAAAAGUUGAUUAAAACGGAAACUCCAUGGCCAUGGUUAAAAGUAUAAACAAAGCUUGUUUGCACAUGAAGUAACUUUGGAUGGAACAUGAAAAAAAAUGGAGAAUAAAGCAUGAAGAGUGAGGAUUAUAAGGUUUAGGGUUUUAGGGAAAGUGUGUUGACUUUGGUCAAAGUUGACCAAAAAGUCAACUAUUGACCAAAGUCAACCUUUGGUCAAAUUUAUGUUUUUUUUUGUAACUUUUGUAUGGGUGAUGUAAACGAUAUUGUAUGGAUUUAAUGGGCCUUUGUGAAUGAAACUAGUUCUUUGGAUUUAAUGAAAUAAAUUUCUCAUUUUCAA